Aotus nancymaae (Ma's night monkey) is the source of this 4934-nucleotide long non-coding RNA. The record is from Ensembl. Lineage: Eukaryota; Metazoa; Chordata; Mammalia; Primates; Aotidae.
AUGUGUAUGCAUGUAUCUUUCUGAGUAUGUUGAUGAGUGUGUGCAUGUGUGUGGGGGUGGGACAUGCUGACACGAGUGUGGCCAGUGUACUCCAGUGCGGUUUCUCUGUAGUCCGCCUACCUUCUGCUGCCGCUCUACGUUUGGCUCAGUAUGGGAGCUGCGGUGCCGUGCAUUGUUUUCCUGCUGCUUUCCAAAGCCUCAGUGUAGUGGGGUCUGGCUCCCACCUGCAGGUGUCAUAAUCGCCUGCUCAUCCCGAGGUGGGUCACUCCUCAAGAAACAAGACGAGUGCAACACACCUACAAUCACUUUCCUCCAAGAGCCCUUGGUCCUGUGGCACAUCUAGGGCUGGAGGGACCCUAGCCGUCCCAUCCUCAGGACCCUGUGAGGGGCUCCAGUGGUGCCCCUAAACUUAUGUGUAUUUCCUCUACUUAGGAUUCUUGUCAAAAAACAGAUUGUAAUUCAUGUGUUGGAGUGAGCCUGACAUUCUGUAUUUCUUGUAGGCACUCAGUGGAUGCAUGCCACUGAUUAGGGGUCCUCAUUGACAUGUGGAGGAGCAAGUCUCAGUAUUGUUCUUUUGAAAAAGAGUUCCUAGAGAGAGAAGACAAAGGCAGUCUGUGUUGCAAAAGAAGCCCAAGGCUGAAGUUUGAAGAACUGAAUAUGCAACUUUGCAAGGGACUCAGAGACAAGGAAAACCUUGUCAGGAAAGAGUUCCUAGAGAGAGGAGGCAAAGGCAGUCUGUGUUGGAAAAAAAACCCAAGGCUGAUAAUGGAAGAACUGAAUAUGCAACUUUGCAAGGGACCUGGAGACCAGAAAAAGCUUGUCAGAGUGAAUGAGGAUGAGGAUGACCUGAAGGAAGAACAUGUAAUUAAGGUAACAUGCAUGUCCUGGGCUGGUUCUGUGCUGGGGCCUGUAGGCCUGGACUCUCUACCCCUGGGGAGGAGGCUGGAGUCACUCCGGCCUCUUCAUUCCUAUGGAUGAAGGAGGAGCUCCCAGCUCAUGGUCUCGAGUUGCUCCCUUGGCUGGCUAGGGAGCGGGGCCUGGGCUUGUCACCCCAGGGCAUGGAGGAGCAGCUGUUCUGUGCUGGCCUCUGAGUGGUUUCUGUUCCCACUGGAGGGUGGUGGUGGAAGGUGCGGGUAGGAGAGGCAUGAGUGCCCUGCCCUUUUGGGUCUCUCAUGGUUGACUUCCACCUUGUCUGCAUUUUCAUUUGCAUGGAAUGCUAUGGGAUGUAUAUGGUCUGACAUUUCUCAAAUUUAAAUAUAUUUGGUUUCAUUGAUUUAUGACUUUUGCUUUCUGUUAGAUGUAGGUAUUUUCUCUGUAUUUUUCUCUUUUCCUCUCCUCAUUCUUGUCUUAGAGGAGUAGAGGGAGAGUAUUCUGCUCAGCCUCCCUCUUUCUCUUUGGGAGAUGUGUGAGAAACACCCCAACCCUGACAGAAUGGGGACUGUUUUCCAUGGUAAAAGUCACCAUUCGGGAGCUAAUACUGUCCUGAGAUUGACAAACUCUCUCAGGCGGUUGAUUGGAGGCUAGGUAUGAUUUGUGGAAGGAGCUGCCUCUAAGACAUUCCCUUGAACCUCUAGAGCUGAGGGUGGCUCGGGAACCCUUGGGCCCCUUGGUAGAUGAAACCUGAUGUGGGACAUCACUUUGUGCAUCUGCCACCGCGCUCCCUUUCCCUCAGCCUCUCAGGCCUGGCUUGCCUUGAUGUUAGAGAAUAUGUUGGGCGUUUUGGUCCCCUCUUUGAAGCCCUUCUCUUUUUCUCUGCCAGGUUUAUUACUCCUGUUGGACACACUUCCAGCUGGCCCAGUUUGUGCCAGAUUGGAGAUGGUUAUUCUAAGUGAAGUAACUCAGGAAUGGAAAAACAAAUGUCAUAUGUUCUCACUGAUAUGUGGGAGCUAAGCUAUGAGGAUGCAAAGGCAUAAGAACAAUACAAUGGACCUUGGAGACUUGCGGGGAGAGUGGGAGGGGGAUGAGGGAUAAAAAACAACAAAUAUGGUGCAGUGUAUACUGCUCGGGGGAUGGUGCACCAGGUUCUCACAAAUCUCUACUAAAGAACUCAUUCAUGUAACCAAGUAGCACCUGUACCCCAAUAACUUAUGGAGAAAUAAAAUUUUGUCAAAAAGAGUGAGUGAUGAAGCCAUUCAGUUUUCCAGUUUUUCAUUUUCAUUUUUUUAUAUGAGUAUUCUUUUAGCUGGAAACUUUCCUAGCAAUAAAAUUGCUUUUAUUUUUGUUACUCUGCCUCCACUCCCUAACCCUCACUUUAGAUAGGAUGGACCAAGCCCAUUUUGCAGAUGAGGAAACUAAGGGUCAGAGAGGUUACACAACUCUUCCAGAGUCACACAGCGGGGAAGUAGCAGCUGCAUGAGCAGAAGCCAGGCUGCUUCCUAGUGCACCAGUGGUUUUCACAGUGUUUUGUGGAAACUUGGGGCCCUCCAGGGCCACCUUGGGGGCAUGGACAAGGCUAAGCAGGGGAUGGGGCUCCCCUCUCACGCAGCCCUGUCCUUGGUUCACUCAGGAGUCAGGCCAGCCCCAGUUUCCUGUGUUUCAUGUAUUUGACUUUCCAUGUAAACUCUCGAGGAAAGCAUCCGUUGCUACAAGCCAUCUCUGGAAUGUCCCUACACACAGUCCAGGUAGGAAAUAGAGGCACUGGUGUCAGAAGCUUAGUAUUGGGCAGGUGAGGCUGCUGCAGGGGAGCCCAGUCCUGCUCAGAUCCCCACAUCUCCCAUCACAGCUGGCAGGGCUGCCCUAUCAGAUGCUGCUGCAAGCGGCCACCAGUAGGCUGUGGGCAUGCAGCUGCAGGCCAGGUGAUGAUCACUGAUAAGGUGCACACCCUGAUCAACUCCAUCACGGGCAUGCACAGUGUGGAGGUCAGUGGCUCCCAGGUACAUGGGCCUCCCUUCCCCAGGCCAGGGUCUGCCAUGGGGCAAAGGGAUAUGGAUGGCUCCUCUAGACACCUGAAACAGGAAUUCCUCUGGAGGUGGAGCUUGCUAGAGGGUACACUGAGUCAAGGCAGUGACCUCAUUGGAGGCUGACCAUGGCUUUCCUGCACAACCCAGAACUCUGGGAACCCUGCUCCAGCAGAGUGGCUCAUUUCCCUACACCUCACCAGCCCCCACGCUCCUGAGUCCCUCCAGCCCUGGAUGCCCGCAACCAGUUCUGUAAGCCAGGGAGAUGGCACGAGCAAGGCAGGAGUCCCUCAGGGUCAAAUCUUGUCAUUACUGAUGCUGUGUAAAGGGGAUUGAACUGAGGAAUGCUCAAGAUCAGCGCAGGCUCCUCCUGCUGACCUAUCAUGUGCCAUGCGUGGCAUCGUGUCUCUGGUCUUCACACUGACUGCCAUGGGGGUGGUACUCCUGGUUUACAUUGAGAACUUGCAGAUUUGGAGAUGGUUAAGCCAUGUCUUAAGGUCAUGCCACUCAUGAGUGUGGAGUUGGGGUGUACCGACUGGUUUCUAACCAUGAGACCCCCACGGCAUCUCACCAGCUCUACUGACAUGUGCCCAGGUUGAAUUGAGGCCAGGAUGUGGUGGUGAACCUGAACCAUCCCUCUAUUGACUCCAAGUCUUUUCUCAACCCAGCGGAAAGUGGCAGGGAGAGUCAGGACUUGAGGGAUUCAGCCUCUUGCUUUCCUCUAACCCCCAGUGGACACUGGAGCAGAACUUCCCUUCCUUCCCCUCUCUCUCAGCUCCCACCAGCCUACAAGCCAUGGAAACCCAUACCUUUUGUCUCCAACCAGCCCCCACUUUUCCCCUUGCUGGCUUCCUGUGUGUCUGGGGUCAGCAUCUUCUAGGCAUAUCUAAGAAGUCAGCAGCACAGCCCUCAGCUGCUCGCCCAAAGCCUGGUUUAUGUUCUCUCCCCAGCUCUGUCAGACCCACUCCCAGCUGCUGCAGUACAUGGAGUGAAACAGGUGAGAUGCAACCCUCUGAGGUAGAGGGACAGUCCCUCAGCCUCGGUGGCCCCUGUGUCAGCCUCUGAGAGGCAGCACUUUGGUUCCCCUCUGGCCCAGGCUGCAGUGGGGUGGAGCCCUGUGCCGUUCGUGUCCUGGGCACAUCAUGGUGUGUGCUAUGCACAGACCUGGGAGGCUUCGGACUGACCACUGGCUCUGAGGCCUGGGGCCGUGGCCAGCCUGCUUUCUGGGAAAAGAUUUGUAGUUUGUAACCCAGUUUCAGAGGCACUGGGCAGCAAAAGGCCUCUGCUGGGGCAGAUGGGGUGAGUUGCCAUCAGGGCAUCAACACUUAAUGUCCACUGGCGUCUCCUCAGGAAGCAUUUAAAGGCCAAGAACCUGAUGCACCUGAAGCAGAUCCUGUAUUUGCUGGAGAAGUUCAUGGUCAUGUUUGCGGGGAGAAUCCUGUCCCCUCCCCCUGCUGACCUGCAGGGCUGCUUUUUCCCUGGAUGCCCAUCAGGACACCUCAGUUCUCUGUGGUUUUCUUUGUUUGUUUGUUUGUUUUUGAGGAUCUUGCACUCUUGCCCAGGCUGGAGUGCAGUGGUGCAAUCUCAGCUCACUGCAACCUCCAUGAUUCUCCUGCCUCAGCCUCCCAAGUAGCUGAGACUAUAGGCACAAGCCACCAUGCCCAGCUAAUUAUUUGUAUUUUUAGUAGAAACUGUGCUUCACCAUGUUCGCCAGGCUGGUCUCCAACUCCUGACCUCAAGUGAUCUGCCCUCCUCGGCCUCCCAAAGUGCUGAGAUUACAGAUAUGAGCCACCAUGUUCGGCCAAUUCUCUGUGUUUUUAAGAAGGGUCUUGGUCAUUGAUUUAACAAAUUCUUACACUUUAUAGCUUAGCUGAGUUGUCUGACUUGAGCUUCUUUAGACUCAUGGGUUCCUUGCCUGUAUUCUUUCUAUUUUGCCAGGCCCUACUCUGUGGGGAUAGUAAGGAUAUAGCACCACAAGAAUGCACAGCAUUUCCCUGAUAGGCAUAGUGCUGUGGGGUGUGCAGAGCACUUGCAUAU